RNAcentral lists this ribosomal RNA (403 nucleotides) under uncultured bacterium. RNAcentral's name for it is "partial 16S ribosomal RNA". It matches the Rfam family "Bacterial small subunit ribosomal RNA", at positions 28 to 526 of the family's 1533-position model. The record is from RNAcentral.
GACGAACGCUGGCGGCGUGCCUAAUACAUGCAAGUCGAACGCAGUGGGGACGGGGGAGUACCACGUGGGUAACCUCCCAUCAGAGGGGAUAACACUUGGAAACAGGUGCUAAACCGAUACUGAUGGAUGGACCCGGGGUGCAUUAGCUAGUUGGGGGGGUAACGGCUCACCAAGGCCACGAUGGAUAGCCGAACUGAGAGGCUGAUCGGCGCACAUGGGACGUGGACAGGGACCAGACGCCUACGGUAGGAAGCAGUAGUGAAUCUUCGGCAAUGGACGAAAGUCUGACCGAGCAACGCCGAGUGAGUGAAGAAGGUGUUCGGAGGGUAAAACUCUGUUGUUAGAGAAGCGGUAUCUAACCAGAAAGCCACGGCUAACUACGUGCCAGCAGCCGCGGUAAUUC